Long non-coding RNA from Manis pentadactyla (Chinese pangolin), 2141 nucleotides. RefSeq lists it as uncharacterized. The transcript is spliced from 3 exons. NCBI's taxonomy places the organism in Eukaryota, Metazoa, Chordata, Mammalia, Pholidota, Manidae. The record is from RefSeq and is a predicted model, not a curated record.
UUAGUCGGUUCACCUACUAACAAAGCUGCUAGUUAUUUCAUAAUUCAAGAUAGACACUAAUGAGGAGCGCUUCGCGGUCUUUCUGGAUGUUCUAAAUGCUCUUGCCCUGAGCUGCUUUAAUGCUGGUUCAACGUCACGCACACACGUUGCAGCUGGAAACUCCACGUGGAUCAGGGGUUUGUGUGUUUGAGGAGAGACUGGUGACAGACAUAGAGUCCAGCAAGUGGUCAUGGCCCAGAACUAAACUGGAAGAGCAUGAGGUUGUCAUGCCUUUUAACAAACGCGUGGUGCUGCAGCUCCCGGGAUAAUGAGAUGAAAGAUGGGCAAAAACAAGAGGCCUAACUGUGACAAGCUGCUGAAAGGACCCUGAAAGAACAAAGUCAAAAGGGACAGACUAUUUGAAUGCCAAAUGCUCUUUGUUUUUUGAAAGCAGUGAUUGCUACAUGGUUUUCCAUUCCUAAAAAUGUCCUAAAUUCCAGCACAACAAAAAAUUCUACAGGAGUUCCAGAAAUGCCUGAUUGUUUCCAUUCUGGGAAAAUUUUUUCUGGGUACCAAGCUCCCUCUACUCCCCGACCCAAACCAGGUAUCUCCUGACCCACUGACAGAAGGGAGAACAAGAGCUUCUGUUGGUGGAGGGAGUGGCGACCCUCCUCCGGGAAGUAAACAGAAUCCCAGCUCUGGUUUCCCCCAGGAUAAACUCAAGACGCGGCUCCCACCAGGAAGGCUCACCCGUGAUUUAACUGGAGGCCCUGGCAGCCAAACAGAGGAAGACGCAGCUUAACGCUUCUACAAGUUAUUCCUUUAGAACUCAAAACUCACCAGCAGCCUGAGCCGGAUUUAAAGCCACGCAGUUGAAGAGGGUGUGGACAACUUGGAGAAAGCUCCAAACCCAUAAAAGUGACUUCAGGAUUAGAGGCCCAGAGGACAAGUUCUCUGAGGAAGUUCUAAGGGAACCGGCUGCUCAGCCAGGGGAACAGCAACUCUGGUAAUUUAUUGAUGCUUCUUUAGAGGUACAAAGAAAAUGGCAGCCAGAUGCUCCCCACUACCAUGAGGACAGGGAAAGAGAAAGUCGGUUUGCUACAAGGAAGGAAUUUGUUUCUGGGAAGGCCUUUGGAAACAGGUUAGGCAUUACCAGAAAGAUAAGUCCAGACAACUAGAUAUCCUCUCAAGGUGAUUCAAGACUUGGUCGCAAACUGUUGAAUCACUAUGUCACUUACCUGAAACUAAUAGACUAUUAUGUCAACUGCCCUUCAGUUAAAGAAAGAACAUGUUUUGCCCAACAACGGUUGUUACAGCAGAUGAAGAUUCUGGCAUCAUCUGUUUGCUAAAUAACUGUGAAAGUACCACACGAGCAAUUCUUUCCAGUGGCUUUAGGAAGCUUUGAACCACUGAAUUGCCUGGCUGUAGUUUAAAUUCUCAAAUUGCAGAGCAGUUACCUCUGGGAUUAUGAAAUACAUACAUUUUAAUAAUUAGUACACCAUCAGAAGGCACUGUUGGGUAGGAAAUAAAGUGGGAAAGCCAGUUACAUUUUCAAUAUUAGCAUCCCCAAAUUUUAGAUUAGAUCUCCAUCCCAAACUCUUAAAUGAAAAAACUGACAUACAGAGAUGCCAAUUAUUUUAAAUCUCUAUUUUUUAGAGAAAGAUCUAUUCACAUAAUUUUUGGUCACAAAUAAGUUUAAAAAAACAUUUUUAAAGCAAGUUGAACUGAAAAUUCUCUCUGACAGAGUAGCUGUGACAGAGAGUGUAUGGCCCUCCAAGUCUCAAUUAUUUGCUAUCUGGCCCUUCACAGGCCGUUCACUAGCUCUUGGAUUCGAUAAUUUUUUAGGUACUGUUUCCUAAACUUCUUUAAGGUAAGAAUCCCCUGGAGGACUUGUUAAAAUGCAGAUUACCAGGCUCUGGCCCUGGAAGUUCUGGCUCAUGGAUCUGGCACUGGAGUCCAGCCUGCUUUAUUAUUUUUUUUUACCAACACUGUCACCUUCAGGCAAAGGUACGCUGAGGGCCCUUCAAGCUCUAAAUUGUAUAAAUACAUUACCAAGUUCAUCUUUCCCUUUGGCUUUAUCUUUCUAAUGAUGUUUAUUUUGAUAAGCACACUAUCGGUCUGGGUAUGAGGACCAAGGUGGAACUGGGGACGGUAGUUAAAAC